AUAUUAACUUAGGCCACCAGCCCCCUUCACACGGGUGUGGUCACAGGUUCAAUCCCUGUCGCGCCCACCA
Molecule: transfer RNA, 70 nt
Filed under: Erythrobacter ramosus
Lineage: Bacteria; Pseudomonadati; Pseudomonadota; Alphaproteobacteria; Sphingomonadales; Erythrobacteraceae
Description: Erythromicrobium ramosum tRNA-OTHER
Source: RNAcentral